This 467-nucleotide ribosomal RNA is filed under the name uncultured bacterium. RNAcentral describes it as "partial 16S ribosomal RNA". It matches the Rfam family "Bacterial small subunit ribosomal RNA", at positions 28 to 507 of the family's 1533-position model. The record is from RNAcentral.
GACGAACGCUGGCGGCGUGCUUAACACAUGCAAGUCGAACGGAAAGGCCCUGCUUUUGUGGGGUGCUCGAGUGGCGAACGGGUGAGUAACACGUGAGUAACCUGCCCUUGACUUUGGGUUAACUUCAGGAAACUGGGGCUAAUACCGGAGAGGAGCUCCUGCUGCAUGGUGGGGGUUGGAAAGUUUCGGCGGUUGGGGAUGGACUCGAGGCUUUCAGCUUGUUUGGGGGGUAGUGGCUGACCAAGGCUUUGACGGGUAGCCGGACUGAGAGGGUGAACGGCGACAUUGGGACUGAGAUACGGCCCAGACUCCUACGGGAGGCAGCAGUGGGGAAUAUUGCACAAUGGGCGGAAGCCUGAUGCAGCAACGCCGCGUGCGGGAUGACGGCCUUCGGGUUGUAAACCGCUUUCGCCUGUGACGAAGCGUGAGUGACGGUAAUGGGUAAAGAAGCACCGGCUAACUACGUG